GAUGAAGAACGUAGCGAAAUGCGAUAAGUAAUGCGAAUUGCAGAAUUUCCGUGAGUCAUCGAAUCUUUGAACGCACAUUGCGCCCACUGGUAUUCCGGGGGGCAUGCCUGUUCGAGCGUCAUUUCAACCCUCAAGCUCUGCUUGGUAUUGGGCGUCGCCGGGGAGUCUCCCCGGCGUGCCUCAAAGCCAUCGGCGGUGGUGCCUUUCUCUAAGCGUGGUAGAAUUUUUAUUCGCUUCUGAGUUGGGCUUCGCCUGCCGGACAAACCGGGCCCUCGCGGCCCACCUUCUCAGGUUGACCUCGGAUCAGGUAGGGAUACCCGCUGAACUUAAGCAUAUCAAUAAGCGGAGGA
This 350-nucleotide unclassified non-coding RNA is filed under the name soil metagenome. RNAcentral's name for it is "partial contains 5.8S ribosomal RNA, internal transcribed spacer 2, and large subunit ribosomal RNA". The stretch from base 1 to 121 matches the Rfam family "5.8S ribosomal RNA", at positions 35 to 154 of the family's 154-position model. The record is from RNAcentral.